RNAcentral lists this long non-coding RNA (1675 nucleotides) under Salvator merianae (Argentine black and white tegu). RNAcentral's name for it is "lncRNA (ENSSMRG00000011874.1)". Lineage: Eukaryota; Metazoa; Chordata; Lepidosauria; Squamata; Teiidae. The record is from RNAcentral.
GGGGGCUUUGAGGCUCCGGGCCAGGGUGAGAAGCAGUGACCGUACAUUCCCUCUGCUUGCAAGGAUGCUGGAUUACUCACUUGGCACUUUAGGACUCGGAGGUGAUGUACUGGGGACCCUUCCUCACCCGGGGUUCCACCGUGCACAGAAAAACUGAUGUUCCUGGCUGCUAAGGAAACCGAGCCAAACCCGGGGCCGGAACUGCUCUUAGCCCUCUGGGACACCCACCUCUAUCCCGGUUCAGGACUUGCAGAAGCAAGAGCAGAAGCUCAAAUGGGAGGAGGUUUUCCCGUGCCCUGUUCCCACUGGGCNUUGGAGAUCUGUGCUUUUCUGCAAAGCCCAUCGGCUAAGACUUGGACUUCUCAAAAACGCAAAAGACACUUGGAUUUUUAUUUUGGGGGAAGGAAGGUGGAAUCUCUUCUGUGGUAUAAUGGGGGCGGGGACUCAAGAUUUGUGUCCAGGACUGUCUGUAUGCCAAAGAGAUACCCCGGGGACUUAGGUCUCCGUCGCUUUAAGGGAGGUCCGGACUUUUCUCCCUCAUUUUUAUGUCUCUGUGGAGCUUGGCUUUUCUCGUCACUAUUAGCAUCCUCCUUAUCCCCCAAAAUAAUCUGGACUGUGGCAGCGUCCNCCCUACCUUGUGUUCUCGGAGAGAACGAUCCCGACUCUCGACAAUGACGUCUACGCUUUUGUCUUCUGUGAAGACGGGGCGUCGGCAGUGCAGAACUAAGCUAUUUUUUUUUUUCUGACUUCUUUGUAUUAAAUAUGUUGGGUUAGGGCUCCCCACCCCUCCGUUUCCUAAUUGUCAGGGACUGAGCCAAAUGAUUAAANACAAAAAAGCCCAUUUUCAAAAUCUUGGGAACAAACUGGCAAACCAACACACCAAGAGAGCUCAUUUUUUUUCCUGUCCCUGGAGUGUUCGGGAUGGAGUUGGCGGGAACGGGCCGCCAUUUUGACAGCUUCCAAAGAUAUUUGCGGCCAUUGGGUGAGCAGUGGGGAUACCGUAUGGGGUGGUUGUUAUUUUUGCUUUUUCGAAUGGGUUCAGGGCAAGAGGUUAGACUACUAUUUGUGUAUCGAGGCCUGUGGGUCUUGGUUCCCCAUUACUCGGGUUUUUAUUUUCUCCUGGACGGUGAUGUGGAGCCUUACUAAUCACAGUAUGAGGACAUUUCAGAGGAAUCCUAAUUUAUAAGGACCCUAAAUCUCCUCUUGUCAUUGUCACUGGUUUCCCAAAGCUGCUGAGGUUGGUUGGUUGGUUGGUUGAUUGAUUAACUGAUAUAUUGAUUGAUGUUUCUGGUCCUCAGGGGAGUUUGAGGUUCAUCUUCUUCUUCUUUUUUAACGCUCAUAUAUCAGAAACACAGAGAGCAAGCCAACCUUACGAUCCCUACAAAUUGCAUGCAGUGUUCUGAUUCCAGUUUGCCCUCCCAGUUGUUCUGGGGAGUUUGAUGAUAGGUCAAGAGGCAGGAGGCCUCUGAAGGCCAUUUGCAGGGAGUGGAGAGCAGGUGAAGGUUUUGCCUUCAUCUUCUGCUUGAGAUGCCCAGAAGCCAUUGGUGGGCCACUGUGUGAGAUGGGAUGCUGGACUAGAUGGUCCGUGGCCUGAUCCAGCNGGGCUCCCCUUAUGUUCUUACGUUCUACAAAACUUUGAUCCCAUCAGUCUUUUCCCAAGGGGAGGGAGCAAGUG